ACUCAAAUGAAUUGACGGGGGCCCGCACAAGCGGUGGAGUAUGUGGUUUAAUUCGAAGCAACGCGCAGAACCUUACCUACCCUUAACAUCCCAGGACGAUGGCAGAGAUGUCAUUUUUUCUUCGGAAACCUGGAGAUAGGUGCUGCAUGGCUGUCGUCAGCUCGUGUCGUAAGAUGUCUGGUUAAGUCCAAUAACGAGCGCAACCCUUAUCGUUAGUUACCAUCAUUAAGUUGGGUACCCUAGCGAGACUGCCGGUGUUAAACCGGAGGAAGGCGGGGAUGACGUCAAGUCCUCAUGGCCCUUACGGGUAGGGCUACACACGUACUACAAUGGCAGAAACAGACUGACGCAAAACCGCGAGGUGGAGCAAAUCGGUAAAACACUGUCUCAGUCCGGAUUGCAGUCUGCAACUCGACUGCAUGAAGCUGGAAUCGCUAGUAAUCGCUGAUCAGCAAGCAGCGGUGAAUACGUUCUCGGGCCUUGCACACACCGCCCGU
RNAcentral lists this ribosomal RNA (497 nucleotides) under uncultured bacterium. Its description in RNAcentral is "partial 16S ribosomal RNA". It matches the Rfam family "Bacterial small subunit ribosomal RNA", at positions 899 to 1397 of the family's 1533-position model. The record is from RNAcentral.